This 493-nucleotide ribosomal RNA is filed under the name uncultured Bacteroidota bacterium. RNAcentral describes it as "bacterial SSU rRNA". It matches the Rfam family "Bacterial small subunit ribosomal RNA", at positions 375 to 868 of the family's 1533-position model. Lineage: Bacteria; Pseudomonadati; Bacteroidota. The record is from RNAcentral.
ACGCAAGUCUGAACCAGCCAUGCCGCGUGAAGGAUGACUGCCCUAUGGGUUGUAAACUUCUUUUAUAUAGGAAGAAACCUCUCUACGUGUAGAGAGCUGACGGUNCUAUACGAAUAAGGACCGGCUAACUCCGUGCCAGCAGCCGCGGUAAUACGGAGGGUCCAAGCGUUAUCCGGAUUUAUUGGGUUUAAGGGGUCCGUAGGCGGGGUUUUAAGUCAGUGGUGAAAGCCUGCAGCUCAACUGUAGAACUGCCAUUGAAACUGGAACUCUUGAAUGUGAUUGAGGUAGGCGGAAUAUGUCAUGUAGCGGUGAAAUGCUUAGAUAUGACAUAGAACACCGAUAGCGAAGGCAGCUUACCAAGUCAUUAUUGACGCUGAUGGACGAAAGCGUGGGGAGCGAACAGGAUUAGAUACCCUGGUAGUCCACGCCGUAAACGAUGAUCACUAGCUAUUGGCGAUACACUGUCAGUGGCACAGCGAAAGUGUUAAGUGAU